UGGGAUGUGAGCAAGGAGCUGCUGUCAGUCAUGCUGGGGAAACACCAACCUGAGAGUGAAGCCAACAGAGAUGAAAAAUAGAAAAGAACCCAGUAUUGAUGCUCUCUUAGAUGAAUCAGAAUGUGAGGCGUUAUCUGCAAAUUCUCCUCUCUGCUGGCUACUGCUAAGAAAGGAGAAAAGAGGAUGGACAUGAGGGGAAGCCAACUGCUAUGCUUGAUUGAGGACACUCAAGCAGCCUAUAGACAGGCCCAUGUGGUGAAGAACUAUAACAACCAGAACUAACUUCCCAGCCAUGUGCAUGAACUAUUUUGGAAAUGGAUUCUGCAGCCCCUGUCUGGCCUUCAGAUGAUUUCUGGAAUAUGAGAGACCCUGAGCCAUGACUACUCAGCUAAGCUACCCCUGGAUUCCUGACCCAC
Long non-coding RNA from Prionailurus viverrinus (fishing cat), 416 nucleotides. RefSeq lists it as uncharacterized. NCBI's taxonomy places the organism in Eukaryota, Metazoa, Chordata, Mammalia, Carnivora, Felidae. The transcript has 3 exons. The record is from RefSeq and is a predicted model, not a curated record.